RNAcentral lists this ribosomal RNA (253 nucleotides) under uncultured bacterium. RNAcentral's name for it is "partial 16S ribosomal RNA". It matches the Rfam family "Bacterial small subunit ribosomal RNA", at positions 524 to 776 of the family's 1533-position model. The record is from RNAcentral.
UACGUAGGGGGCUAGCGUUGUCCGGAAUCAUUGGGCGUAAAGAGCGUGUAGGCGGCCCGGUAAGUCCGCUGUGAAAGUCGGGGGCUCAACCCUCGAAUGCCGGUGGAUACUGUCGGGCUAGAGCACGGUAGAGGCAGAUGGAAUUCCCGGUGUAGCGGUGGAAUGCGUAGAGAUCGGGAAGAACAUCAGUGGCGAAGGCGGUUACCUGGACAGUUACUGACGCUCAGGCACGAAAGCAUGGGGAGCAAAAGGG